AGCGGCAAAAGCUCAAAUUUGAAAUCUGGCACUUUCAGUGUCCGAGUUGUAAUUUGAAGAAGGUAUCUUUGGGUCUGGCUCUUGUCUAUGUUUCUUGGAACAGAACGUCACAGAGGGUGAGAAUCCCGUGCGAUGAGAUGUCCCAGACCUAUGUAAAGUUCCUUCGAAGAGUCGAGUUGUUUGGGAAUGCAGCUCUAAGUGGGUGGUAAAUUCCAUCUAAAGCUAAAUAUUGGCGAGAGACCGAUAGCGAACAAGUACAGUGAUGGAAAGAUGAAAAGAACUUUGAAAAGAGAGUGAAAAAGUACGUGAAAUUGUUGAAAGGGAAGGGCUUGAGAUCAGACUUGGUAUUUUGUAUGUUACUCUCUCGGGGGUGGCCUCUACAGUUUACCGGGCCAGCAUCAGUUUGAGCGGUAGGAUAAGUGCAAAGAAAUGUGGCACUGCUUCGGUAGUGUGUUAUAGUCUUUGUCGAUACUGCCAGCUUAGACUGAGGACUGCGGCUUCGGCCUAGGAUGUUGGCAUAAUGAUCUUAAGUCGCCCGUCUUGA
This 544-nucleotide ribosomal RNA is filed under the name Lodderomyces parapsilosis. RNAcentral's name for it is "Candida parapsilosis partial large subunit ribosomal RNA". It matches the Rfam family "Eukaryotic large subunit ribosomal RNA", at positions 97 to 657 of the family's 3401-position model. Lineage: Eukaryota; Fungi; Ascomycota; Pichiomycetes; Serinales; Debaryomycetaceae. The record is from RNAcentral.